GGGGCACAAGUGUGAGGAGCCCACUUCCUCAGUCCUCCCCCCAAGGGCUCCAGACACCUGCCUCCAUGCCCCGUCCUGGCAGGAAGCCCACUUUGCUGAGGGGCUUUUCCUUCCAGGCAGGGCCAAAAUGAUCCAGCUUUGAGCCCAUUUGCCUUGGCCAGGGAAAGUGUGGGGAACAUGUGCAAUGACGAGCAGCUUCCCUGCAGCCAGAGAGGCCGGCACUGCCCCUGUGGAGCUGUGUGACCUCGGCAGGUCCAGUCACCACAGCUAGAAAGCACCUGCCUUCUGUGGAUGACAACAUCAUGGUAAUGGUGGCGGAAGGGCAGCACAGAUGGGCAGAGAACUAGGUCAAGGUCAGACUUAACUCCUGGAAAGUCUGACUCUGGAGGACACGGGCUCCUCUGCGUGCCGGGAGGUGGCCAGGUGGGAGGCUGAGGAAGAAAAGCCAGGGCUCCCGGCUGUGCCUGCCGCCUUCGGGACAAUCAGAGGGGUGGAUGGUUUGUGCACGUGCAUUUCAUUGCAGGUCAAAAGACCCAGGCAGCUGAGGGGUCUCUGGGGCCAGGGCUGAACUGCCGGACACUGAAUUUCUGGGCUUAUCUGAAGAGGUAGCUCCAAAUGGAAGCCAGGUUAAUCUAAAAGAUGGCAUGCUCAAAACACAGGCUGCCUGGGUUCAAAUUCCCGCUCUGCAACCCAGGGGGAGUCAUGUCAGCACUUCCUGACACCGCACAGGGGAGGCUUCCAUUUGGAUGGUUCUGCCCCUGGUGCAAAGUCAAUGUUCCAGAAACAGCAGUUGGCUUGAAACAAGUCCUCUAAGGUUCUUGCUAAUUCAGGGGGUGCGGGAAUUGUGGGAAGGGGGUGGUGGGGAGCAGUGGGGCUUGGGGUCAUGAGGGUGGCUCCAACCCCACCCCUCCAUACACAGGGUGACCCCAGCUUUGCAACACUGAUUCAUUCAGCAGGUUCUGGGUUUUGGCACACAGCACUGUACGAGCCAAAAACCCGCCCUCCCAGGGCUUACACUCCAGUGAGAAGAGAAACUAAGAAGAAUGAAAAUAGGAUACAGUGUCAUGAAUGCUGCAAAGAAAUAUUGGGCAGGUUAGGAGGGGAGGGAGAGGUAGGAGGUGCUGCUGGAGGUCAGGACCUUCCAGCAGAGCGAGGAUCUGAAUAAGGUGAGGGAGAGGCCCUGCUGGUGUUGGAGGGAAGAGCAUCGAAGGCGGAGGGAACAGCCAGUGCAAAGGUGCCGAGCAGUAGCACGUUGGAAGACCAGGAAGCAGGCCAGGGAGGUUGGCGGGGGCUGGGGGGGGGGGGGGAAAUAGNUAGCAAAAGAGGAGGAUCUAGGGAGAGGCAGUGAGGAAUCCGGGCUUUGGCUGAAAGAGUGAUGAGGAGCAGAGGGAGGGUUCUAAGCUGAGCCGGGGAGUGGCAGGCUGUGAUUUACAUGUUGAAAGGUCUGCAAUAUACAUGUAUACACUUCCUUGCUCUGUCAACCCUGAAGUCCUAGAAAUAGUAAACCCCAAGAAGCAAAGAGGACACACCCAGCACCCCAGCACCCAGAUCUGGGUCUUUAAUCCCAUUGCCUUCAAUAAAGGGGGCCUAAGGCUCCUGGGGGCAAUGGCUGAUCCGUUUGAUGGGGGCAGGAAAUCGACAAGAUGAGCCUGGAGCAUCUCACAAUGCUGGAAAGAAGAGAAAGCCACGAAAACAACAAAACAAAAGGCCACAGUGACGGGGCUGGUCUGAGGGACACGAGAGUGAACGCAGUAGGUUUCCAGUGGCAAAGGGGACAGUUCAAGCAAUGACAUGCAGCAGCAUUAGAUGAGACCUCAAGGUGUAAAGCAAAUAUCUAUGAGUCCAGACUGACGUAAGCCAAUGAAUAGUUAAAUAAACGAGAGAGACGAAAAGCUCCUGCGCAAAAGAACACCAGGGGAGUUCCCUGAUGGUGCAGGGGUUUAAGGAGUUGGUGUUAUCCCUGCAGCAGCUUGGGUCACUGCUGUGGUGGGGUUUGAUCCCUGGCCCCAGAAUUGCCACAUGCUGCAGGUGCAGUCAAAAAAAAAAAAAAAAAAACAGGAACACACCAGCUGAUUUGGGAUGAGACUUAACCUGCCCUCCCAGAGGGGAGCUCCACUCCUCAUGCCUUCAGUGUAGGCUGCCCCUAGUGACUCCUUCCAGAGGAGGCAGCAGAAGAGGGGACAAAGAGGGACUUCCCAGUGGAGACACCUGGCAGAUACCACCUCAGCCAGGUGGCCAAGGUCUGCCUCAUCAGGGGUGAGUCAUCUUGAUGGGUGGCACCCUUGCCUGGACAUGAUGAGAAUGACACUUCGCCUCUGUGGUCUUCCUCGUCAGCACCCAUAAACACAAAAUCAAAAAACAAACAAACGAAAAAA
RNAcentral lists this long non-coding RNA (2375 nucleotides) under Sus scrofa (pig). Its description in RNAcentral is "lncRNA (ENSSSCG00060048005.1)". The record is from RNAcentral. Lineage: Eukaryota; Metazoa; Chordata; Mammalia; Artiodactyla; Suidae.